Molecule: ribosomal RNA, 737 nt
Filed under: Brevundimonas sp. 96
Lineage: Bacteria; Pseudomonadati; Pseudomonadota; Alphaproteobacteria; Caulobacterales; Caulobacteraceae
Description: bacterial SSU rRNA
Rfam family: Bacterial small subunit ribosomal RNA
Source: RNAcentral
GGGUGAGUAACACGUGGGAACGUGCCUUUAGGUUCGGAAUAACUCAGGGAAACUUGUGCUAAUACCGAAUGUGCCCUUCGGGGGAAAGAUUUAUCGCCUUUAGAGCGGCCCGCGUCUGAUUAGCUAGUUGGUGAGGUAAAGGCUCACCAAGGCGACGAUCAGUAGCUGGUCUGAGAGGAUGAUCAGCCACAUUGGGACUGAGACACGGCCCAAACUCCUACGGGAGGCAGCAGUGGGGAAUCUUGCGCAAUGGGCGAAAGCCUGACGCAGCCAUGCCGCGUGAAUGAUGAAGGUCUUAGGAUUGUAAAAUUCUUUCACCGGGGACGAUAAUGACGGUACCCGGAGAAGAAGCCCCGGCUAACUUCGUGCCAGCAGCCGCGGUAAUACGAAGGGGGCUAGCGUUGCUCGGAAUUACUGGGCGUAAAGGGAGCGUAGGCGGACAUUUAAGUCAGGGGUGAAAUCCCGGGGCUCAACCUCGGAAUUGCCUUUGAUACUGGGUGUCUUGAGUAUGAGAGAGGUGUGUGGAACUCCGAGUGUAGAGGUGAAAUUCGUAGAUAUUCGGAAGAACACCAGUGGCGAAGGCGACACACUGGCUCAUUACUGACGCUGAGGCUCGAAAGCGUGGGGAGCAAACAGGAUUAGAUACCCUGGUAGUCCACGCCGUAAACGAUGAUUGCUAGUUGUCGGGAUGCAUGCAUUUCGGUGACGCAGCUAACGCAUUAAGCAAUCCGCCUGGG